This 119-nucleotide ribosomal RNA is filed under the name Ricinus communis (castor bean). Lineage: Eukaryota; Viridiplantae; Streptophyta; Magnoliopsida; Malpighiales; Euphorbiaceae. The record is from RNAcentral.
GGGUGCGAUCAUACCAGUACUAAUGCACCGGAUCCCAUCAGAACUCCGAAGUUAAACGUGCUUGGGCGAGAGUAGUACUAAGAUGGGUGACCUCUUGGGAAGUCCUCGUGUUGCACCCC